AACGCGAAGAACCUUACCUGGGCUUGAACCGCACCGGACCAUCUUUGGAAACAGAGACUUCCCGCAAGGGACCGGUGUAGAGGUGCUGCAUGGCUGUCGUCAGCUCGUGCCGUGAGGUGUUGGGUUAAGUCCCGCAACGAGCGCAACCCUUACUCGUAGUUGCCACCCGCAAGGGGGAACUCUACGAGGACUGCUCCGGAUAACGGAGAGGAAGGUGGGGAUGAGGUCAAGUCAGCAUGGCCUUUAUGUCCAGGGCGACACACGUGUUACAAUGCGCGCCACAAAGCGUCGCGAACCCGCGAGGGGGAGCUAAUCGCAAAAAAGCGCGCUCAGUUCGGAUUGCAGUCUGCAACUCGACUGCAUGAAGCCGGAAUCGCUAGUAAUGGCGCAUCAGAACGGCGCCGUGAAUACGUUCCCGGGCCUUGUA
RNAcentral lists this ribosomal RNA (427 nucleotides) under uncultured Acidobacteriota bacterium. RNAcentral describes it as "bacterial SSU rRNA". It matches the Rfam family "Bacterial small subunit ribosomal RNA", at positions 958 to 1385 of the family's 1533-position model. Lineage: Bacteria; Pseudomonadati; Acidobacteriota. The record is from RNAcentral.